CCCUUAGAUGUCCUGGGCUGCACGCGCGCUACACUGAUGUGUCAAGUAAGCACCUAACCUCUUCCGAAAGGAACGGGUAACCUUUGCAAAGCACAUCGUGAUGGGGAUAGAUUAUUGCAAUUAUUAGUCUUGAACGAGGAAUUCCUAGUAAGCACAAGUCAUCAGCUUGUGUUGAUUACGUCCCUGCCCUUUGUACACACCGCCCGUCGCUCCUACCGAUUGAAUGUUCCGGUGAGCUCUUCGGACUGCGCGGUCUGCAGUUUCUGCGUUCCGUGCGGAAAGUUGCGCAAACCUUAACAUUUAGAGGAAGGAGAAGUCGUAACA
Molecule: ribosomal RNA, 324 nt
Filed under: uncultured eukaryote
Lineage: Eukaryota
Description: partial 18S ribosomal RNA
Rfam family: Eukaryotic small subunit ribosomal RNA
Source: RNAcentral